This 209-nucleotide ribosomal RNA is filed under the name uncultured bacterium. Its description in RNAcentral is "partial 16S ribosomal RNA". It matches the Rfam family "Bacterial small subunit ribosomal RNA", at positions 524 to 732 of the family's 1533-position model. The record is from RNAcentral.
UACGUAGGGUGCGAGCGUUGUCCGGAAUUAUUGGGCGUAAAGAGCUUGUAGGCGGUUUGUCGCGUCUGCUGUGAAAAUCCGGGGCUCAACCCCGGACUUGCAGUGGGUACGGGCAGACUAGAGUGUGGUAGGGGAGACUGGAAUUCCUGGUGUAGCGGUGAAAUGCGCAGAUAUCAGGAGGAACACCGGUGGCGAAGGCGGGCGUCUGG